RNAcentral lists this unclassified non-coding RNA (200 nucleotides) under Coniochaetales sp. Its description in RNAcentral is "partial internal transcribed spacer 2". Lineage: Eukaryota; Fungi; Ascomycota; Sordariomycetes; Coniochaetales. The record is from RNAcentral.
UUAAGUUCAGCGGGUAUUCCUACCUGAUCCGAGGUCAACCUUGGGUUAAAAGAAGUUCCUUUAACGGCCGGAGCGCGCCGCGCCUCCCUAGCGAGAUAGGAUUCUACUACGCUCGGAGUUCGCCGCGAGCCCGCCACUCCAUUUCGGGGCCUGCGGCAGCCGCAGGGCCCCAACACCAAGCCGGGGGCUUGAGGGUUGAA